Sapajus apella (tufted capuchin) is the source of this 5166-nucleotide long non-coding RNA. RefSeq lists it as uncharacterized. Lineage: Eukaryota; Metazoa; Chordata; Mammalia; Primates; Cebidae. The transcript has 3 exons. The record is from RefSeq and is a predicted model, not a curated record.
UCCUAAAAUGCUGGGAUUACAGGUUUGAGCCAUCAUGCCCGGCCUGUAAAAUUAAAGUUUUAAAUGCUCAUCAAAACCUCCUGAGACCUCAAAGUACCUUCAGUUAAAUGGAAUUUAACGUCCCCUCCACAUAGGUAUUCACAGGCAAAAGUAUACUGGCAGGGGCAUAUUAAGGAUAGAAGUUAGAGAUUCUUUUUCUAGGAAAUGUGUUGCGCGUGAAUCUGCUACACUGUCCAGGCAGAGUUGUUCAAGUUUAAACAUAAAAGUCUGCUGUGUAUGUUCUAGAAAUGAGACAAAAAUGAAAGAACUGGCAGAAGCUUAGGAAAGAUAUGGUGUUGGUAAUACAUACUGUCACAUAACCUAAAAAUGCUCAAGUUCUGAUAUUUGCCAUUUAUAGUCUAAGAUAUAAAUAAUACAUUAAAAGCCCCAAUCCUUUCUCAUAACAUUUUACUGAGUCAUUCUCUAGUGACUAGUCUCUGACCUGAGAUUUUUGUACUGAAUUGCAAGCACUGGUAUGCCAUCUUUUUUUUUUCUUUUUUAAGAGAAAGAUCUUACUAUGCUGCACAGGCUAGGCUGGAACCCCUGGGCUCAAGUAAGCAGUCCUCUCACCUCAGCCUCCUGAGUAGCUGGGACUACAAGUACAUGACACUGUGCCUGGCUUCAUAUACCAUCCUAACAAUGUAAUUUAUUUGUUUUUAAUCAGAGCCUCCGGGUGACAUAAAUAAAUAUAUUUUAAGUGAACUACAAGCCAAUUGGUCUUUUAAAACCUAAUGUUUUUAAAUAUGUGAGAAUACGGGCUUGAAUCAUUAGCAUAUGACUACAUAUCAUAAAUAGGAAUUUUCCUACUUUUUAAUACCUAAGGCAGCUUGUUCACCAAAAUCUAAAACUCCUAAUAGUGUUUAGAGAGGAAACCCUAAAGCAUGUGAGUAAGUUUUACUAUAUUUCAGUUACAUGUGUUGAUCUGUAGCUUUCUUCAGAAUACCCCAAACAGUCCUUAAAAGCAUCAGUAUUCUCAGAGGAUAUUUUUUGCAAGGCGUAUUCUAGUUUGAAAGAUAAUGCCUUAAUCCAUUUUCUGGAUUAUAACCCAUUAGGUUACAUAAAUGUGUUUCUAAUAUCUUAUCACAGACAAUAUAAACUCACAUGGCCUGAAUCGCAAGUAACAUGUGAUAAAGGACCAAGGAAAGUAAAUGUUAAUAUUUAAGCUUUCCACUUACUUGAUCCAAUAUUAGCAAUGCAAAGUUUCAUGAUUCUCUUUAACACAACAGUUAUAAAAUAGUCAAAGAUCAACAUUUUUAUAUGUUUUAUUAAGCCUUCUUUGAAAAUUUGAAAUUUGCAUUUUUACUUUUCUCAUAAAUGAAAUACACAAUUUAUGUAAGUAUUCAAUAAUAAUGUUUCAGUCAUGAUCAAGGUAAAACAUAAAAUCAGGAUUUUUGAUUGGAUUCAAAUCAAUAAGCAAAAGCUGUUUCCAUACAUGAAUUGUAGCUAUAUGUAAGUGAGAAUUCUCUUAGUUAUAAAACAUGGCAUUUGGAGUUUUCUUAAAUACUUCUUAAUUAUAUUCUUGACUGUGUAUUUUCUUAAAUAUUUUUAAAGGUAUACAAUGGAUGUUAGGAAUAAGAUGGAAUACUCUCAAUUAUGUCAACUGUAUAGAGGGUUUUAAACUUUUUCUAUAAGUUAUACUCUAUAACCAAUAGCAACUGAGUUGAUUGAAAUCCUGAUAUUGGAACUUAAGUGUUCCAUAUACCUUAGGACAUGUAUAAUGGAAAUGUUGUGUUCUCAUUGGGUCUAGUGGAGAGCUGUAUUUCUCAGGAAUUAUUAAGUAUGCUAUGGGUUUAAAGCAGUUAAUUUUUUAAAAAUCUUCAGAUACACUUUGGGUGUUGCUUCACUGUGGUGUUUAUUUUGACAGCAACUCCACAGCUACCUCAACCCAAAGGAAGAGUCUAGUCCCAGGAUGGCAGAUGAGGCUGCAUUCUGCAAGUCACAGCCCAGGAAAUUGUAAAUUUGCUUGUAUUGAACAAUGGGGGCGUGACAGAGAACCCUUCUAACCUAGAAGAAAUCAGUCUUUCCAAAUGAAAAACUGCAGGGCAGACUUGUUUCGUUUUGUUUUCUAUGAUAUGUAAACUGUUUUUAGGUGAUGAAUUAGGAAGAUAAACCAAUUUCAACUAACAAAAAUGUCUGUUUUCCAAGCAUCUUUUUAUAAACAGUGUUUCAUGUUUAUAAUUAGUAAAUGUAUUUAUUUUAAUGAUUCAAGUUUAGCAUUACAGAAAUUUUGGCAAAAACAAAAAAGAAACAUCAUCUGUAAUUUCUUCACCCUAAUGCAGCUUUAGCAAUUUUCAUGUAUUCCCUCUCAGCAUCAAUGUGCAUAUUAAUGAUCUAAUAAUUUUUAUUAUUGUGAGCAGUUAUCCAUUGGUACUGCCCUACUUUAAAUACUUUUAUUUUCGUUGGCUAGAAAACAAUCUGUGGAAGGAAUAGUCCCCCAUUGACUAUUACUGCUUUUGAUUUUUUACAGUCACAUGUGUUACUUUAAUGGAUGUCUUUAAGUAUAAGACUUUUUCCGUAUCUUACAACAUUUCGUUAAGUUGGUGCCUCAGAAGUGGGAUUAUGGAGUCAACAAUUUUGAACUUUUUCAUGACAAUUGAUAAAUAUUGCUAAAUUACUUUCCUAGAGUUAUGCCAAUAUACUAAUAUACUAUAACUGUUUUGUUCAUUGUGGUAAGAAUGCUUAACAUGAGAUCUGCUCUCUUAAAUAUUAAAGUGUAUGAUACAGGAUCAUUAACCAUAAGCACAGUCUUGUACAUCCUAUCUCUAGAACUUAUUCACCUGCAUAACUGAAACUUUAUACCCAUUGAAUAGCAACUCCGCAUUUCCUCCUCCCCGUGGCCUAUAGCAACCACCAUUUUAUUCUCUGCUUCAGUGAGUUUGACUGUUUUGGAUACAUCGUAAGUGAAAUAAUGCAGUGUUUGUCCUUCUGUGACUGGCUUAUUUCACAUAGCAUAAUGUCCUACAGAGAUAUCCAUAUGGCAGGAUUUCCUUCUUUUUUAGAAAAAGACUAAAUAAUAUUCCCUUGUACGUACAUACCACCUUUAUCUAUUCAUUUGUAGAUUAAGCAUUAAUUUGUUUCCAUAUCUUGGCUGGUGUAAAUAAUAUUGCAGUAAGUAUGUGAGUGUACAUACCUCUUUGAGGUUCUGAUUACAGUUCUUUUAGAUAAAUACCCAGAGGUGGGAUUGCUGAAUCAUAUGAUAUUUCUAUUUUUAAUUUUUUGAGGAACCUUUAUACUGUUUUCCAUAGUGGCUGCACCAUUUUACAUUCUCAGUAACAGUGUACAAGGGUACCAGUUCCUCCACAUCCUCACCAACACCGGCUAUCUUUUGUGGGGUUUUUUUUUUUUCUUCUUUUGAUAAUAGCUAUCCUAACAGGUGUGAUAAUAGCUAUCCUAACAGCUCAUGAGGGUUUUAAUUUGCAUUUUCCUGAUGAUUCUUAGUAUUGAGCAUCUUUUCACAUACCUGUUGGCAAUUUGUAUGCUGUCAUUGGAGAAACGUCUAUUCAGUUUCUUUGCCCACUUCUAAAUUGGAUUAUUUGGUCUUAUUGUUGUUGAGUUGUAAGAAUUCCUUGUAUUUUAGAUACUAACCCCUCAUCAGAUAAUAUGGUUUGCAAUUAUUUUCUCCCCAUUUUGUAGGUUGCCUUUUCACUCUGUUGAUUUCUUUGCUAUGCAGAAGCCUUAUAGUUUAUGUCCUACUGGUCUAGUUUUGCUUUUACUGCAUGUGUUUUUGAUGUCGUGUUCAAGAAAUCAUUGCCAAGACCACUGUCAUGAACCUUUGCCCUAUGUUUUGUUUUGUUUUGUUUUGUUUUAAGAAGUUUUACACUUUCAGGCUUCACAUUUAGGUGUUUAAUCCAUUUUGAGCUGAUUUUUGUGUAUAGGUCUAAUUUCUUUCUUAAUCAUGUGGAUAUCUCAUUUUCCCAGCAUUAUUUGUUAAACAGACUGUCCUUUUCCCAUUGUGUAUUUUUGGCACUCUUGUUAAAAAUCAGUUGACCCUAUAUUUGUGGGCUUAUUUUUGGGCUCUCUGUUCUGUUCUCUUUGUCUAUAUGUCUUUAUUCCAUUACUGUACUGUUGGAAUUACUAUAGCUUUGUAAUCUAUUUUGAAAUAGAAAAGUGUGAUGCCUACAAUUUUGUUCCUUCUCCUGAUCAUUUGACUCUUCAAAGUCUUCAGGGUUUCAUACGAAUUAUAGGACUGUGUUUCUAUUUCUGUAAAAAAUGCCAUUGGGAUUUUGAUAUGGAUUGCAUUGAAUGUGUAGAUUCCUUUGGGUAGUGUCGACAUGUUAACUAUAUUAAGUUUUCCAGUCCAUAACCAUAGGAUAUCUUUUCAUUUAUUUGUGUCUUUUAAAAUUUCUUUUAUCAAUGUUUUAUGAUUUUUCAGUAUACAAGUCUUUCAUUACCUUACUAAGUUUAUUCCUAAAUAAAUUUUGAUGCCAUUAUAGAUGAGAUUGUUUUCUUAAUUUCCCUUUGGGACAGUUUGUUGUUAGUAUGUAGAAAUGCAGCUGGUUUUUGUAUGUUGAUUUGGUAUCUUUUAAUUUUACUGAAUUCCUUUAUUAGUCCUAACAGCUUUUCUGUGGAUUCUUAAAGUUUUUUACAUAUAAGAUCAUGUCAUCUACAAAGACAGUUUUACUUCUUCCUUUUUGGUGCUUCUUUUUUUUUUUUUUUUUUUCUUGCCUAAUUGAUCUGGUAAGGACUUCUAGCUCUGUGUCGAAUAGAAGUGGUGAGAGUGGGCAUCCUUGCCUUUUUCCUUAUCUCAACACUGUUAGUUUUUCAUUACAGGGUUGAUGUCAGCUAUGAGGUUUCAUAUAUGCCUUUAUUGUCUUAAGGAAAUUUUCUUCUAUUCCAAGUUCAUGGAGAGCUUUUGUCAUGAAAGGAUAUCAAAUUUUGUCAAAUUUUUUUUUCUGUAGCUGUUGAAAUGGUCAUGUGAUUUUUUUUUUUAAAUCUGUCAUUCUGCUACUGUGGUAUGUCACAUCUAUAAACUUGUGUAUGUUGAACCAUUCUUGGAUCCCUGGAAUAAAUCUCAUUUGUUCCCUUAAUAUACUGUUGAAUUCAGGUAGCUAGUAUUUUGUUGAGUAUUUUUGCAUCUGUCUUCAUCAGGGUUAUUGGCCUAUAGUUUGCUUUUUUGUUGUGUCCUUG